RNAcentral lists this ribosomal RNA (488 nucleotides) under Bacillus halotolerans. RNAcentral describes it as "bacterial SSU rRNA". It matches the Rfam family "Bacterial small subunit ribosomal RNA", at positions 29 to 499 of the family's 1533-position model. Lineage: Bacteria; Bacillati; Bacillota; Bacilli; Caryophanales; Bacillaceae. The record is from RNAcentral.
ACGAACGCUGGCGGCGUGCCUAAUACAUGCAAGUCGAGCGGACAGAUGGGAGCUUGCUCCCUGAUGUUAGCGGCGGACGGGUGAGUAACACGUGGGUAACCUGCCUGUAAGACUGGGAUAACUCCGGGAAACCGGGGCUAAUACCGGAUGCUUGUUUGAACCGCAUGGUUCAAACAUAAAAGGUGGCUUCGGCUACCACUUACAGAUGGACCCGCGGCGCAUUAGCUAGUUGGUGAGGUAAUGGCUCACCAAGGCAACGAUGCGUAGCCGACCUGAGAGGGUGAUCGGCCACACUGGGAAUGAGACACGGCCCAGACUCCUACGGGAGGCAGCAGUAGGGAAUCUUCCGCAAUGGACGAAAGUCUGACGGAGCAACGCCGCGUGAGUGAUGAAGGUUUUCGGAUCGUAAAGCUCUGUUGUUAGGGAAGAACAAGUACCGUUCGAAUAGGGCGGUACCUUGACGGUACCUAACCAGAAAGCCACGGCUA